UUAAGUUAUUAAGGGCGCACGGUGGAUGCCUUGGCACUAGAAGCCGAUGAAGGACGUUACUAACGACGAUAUGCUUUGGGGAGCUGUAAGUAAGCUUUGAUCCAGAGAUUUCCGAAUGGGGAAACCCAGCAUGAGUUAUGUCAUGUUAUCGAUAUGUGAAUACAUAGCAUAUCAGAAGGCACACCCGGAGAACUGAAACAUCUUAGUACCCGGAGGAAGAGAAAGAAAAUUCGAUUCCCUUAGUAGCGGCGAGCGAAACGGGAAGAGCCCAAACCAACAAGCUUGCUUGUUGGGGUUGUAGGACACUCUAUACGGAGUUACAAAGGACGACAUUAGACGAAUCAUCUGGAAAGAUGAAUCAAAGAAGGUAAUAAUCCUGUAGUCGAAAAUGUUGUCUCUCUUGAGUGGAUCCUGAGUACGACGGAGCACGUGAAAUUCCGUUGGAAUCUGGGAGGACCAUCUCCUAAGGCUAAAUACUCUCUAGUGACCGAUAGUGAACCAGUACCGUGAGGGAAAGGUGAAAAGCACCCCGGAAGGGGAGUGAAAUAGAACCUGAAACCGUGUGCUUACAAGUAGUCAGAGCCCGUUAAUGGGUGAUGGCGUGCCUUUUGUAGAAUGAACCGGCGAGUUACGAUUUGAUGCAAGGUUAAGCAGUAAAUGUGGAGCCGUAGCGAAAGCGAGUCUGAAUAGGGCGUUUAGUAUUUGGUCGUAGACCCGAAACCAGGUGAUCUACCCUUGGUCAGGUUGAAGUUCAGGUAACACUGAAUGGAGGACCGAACCGACUUACGUUGAAAAGUGAGCGGAUGAACUGAGGGUAGCGGAGAAAUUCCAAUCGAACCUGGAGAUAGCUGGUUCUCUCCGAAAUAGCUUUAGGGCUAGCCUCAAGUGAUGAUUAUUGGAGGUAGAGCACUGUUUGGACGAGGGGCCCCUCUCGGGUUACCGAAUUCAGACAAACUCCGAAUGCCAAUUAAUUUAACUUGGGAGUCAGAACAUGGGUGAUAAGGUCCGUGUUCGAAAGGGAAACAGCCCAGACCACCAGCUAAGGUCCCAAAAUAUAUGUUAAGUGGAAAAGGAUGUGGCGUUGCCCAGACAACUAGGAUGUUGGCUUAGAAGCAGCCAUCAUUUAAAGAGUGCGUAAUAGCUCACUAGUCGAGUGACACUGCGCCGAAAAUGUACCGGGGCUAAACAUAUUACCGAAGCUGUGGAUUGUCCUUUGGACAAUGGUAGGAGAGCGUUCUAAGGGCGUUGAAGCAUGAUCGUAAGGACAUGUGGAGCGCUUAGAAGUGAGAAUGCCGGUGUGAGUAGCGAAAGACGGGUGAGAAUCCCGUCCACCGAUUGACUAAGGUUUCCAGAGGAAGGCUCGUCCGCUCUGGGUUAGUCGGGUCCUAAGCUGAGGCCGACAGGCGUAGGCGAUGGAUAACAGGUUGAUAUUCCUGUACCACCUAUAAUCGUUUUAAUCGAUGGGGGGACGCAGUAGGAUAGGCGAAGCGUGCGAUUGGAUUGCACGUCUAAGCAGUAAGGCUGAGUAUUAGGCAAAUCCGGUACUCAUUAAGGCUGAGCUGUGAUGGGGAGAAGACAUUGUGUCUUCGAGUCGUUGAUUUCACACUGCCGAGAAAAGCCUCUAGAUAGAAAAUAGGUGCCCGUACCGCAAACCGACACAGGUAGUCAAGAUGAGAAUUCUAAGGUGAGCGAGCGAACUCUCGUUAAGGAACUCGGCAAAAUGACCCCGUAACUUCGGGAGAAGGGGUGCUCUUUAGGGUUAACGCCCAGAAGAGCCGCAGUGAAUAGGCCCAAGCGACUGUUUAUCAAAAACACAGGUCUCUGCUAAACCGUAAGGUGAUGUAUAGGGGCUGACGCCUGCCCGGUGCUGGAAGGUUAAGAGGAGUGGUUAGCUUCUGCGAAGCUACGAAUCGAAGCCCCAGUAAACGGCGGCCGUAACUAUAACGGUCCUAAGGUAGCGAAAUUCCUUGUCGGGUAAGUUCCGACCCGCACGAAAGGCGUAACGAUUUGGGCACUGUCUCAACGAGAGACUCGGUGAAAUCAUAGUACCUGUGAAGAUGCAGGUUACCCGCGACAGGACGGAAAGACCCCGUGGAGCUUUACUGUAGCCUGAUAUUGAAAUUCGGCACAGCUUGUACAGGAUAGGUAGGAGCCUUUGAAACGUGAGCGCUAGCUUACGUGGAGGCGCUGGUGGGAUACUACCCUAGCUGUGUUGGCUUUCUAACCCGCACCACUUAUCGUGGUGGGAGACAGUGUCAGGCGGGCAGUUUGACUGGGGCGGUCGCCUCCUAAAAGGUAACGGAGGCGCUCAAAGGUUCCCUCAGAAUGGUUGGAAAUCAUUCAUAGAGUG
This 2350-nucleotide ribosomal RNA is filed under the name Staphylococcus aureus 56824-7. RNAcentral describes it as "bacterial LSU rRNA". It matches the Rfam family "Bacterial large subunit ribosomal RNA", at positions 3 to 2351 of the family's 2925-position model. Lineage: Bacteria; Bacillati; Bacillota; Bacilli; Caryophanales; Staphylococcaceae. The record is from RNAcentral.